This is a microRNA precursor of Oreochromis niloticus (Nile tilapia), 59 nucleotides long. The record is from Ensembl. NCBI's taxonomy places the organism in Eukaryota, Metazoa, Chordata, Actinopteri, Cichliformes, Cichlidae.
AUUGCGCAGACCUGUCCGAGAGGGUUCUAUAUCCCUCUCGGACAGGUCUGCGCAAUGCA